CACGUAGGGGCCGAGCGUUGUCCGGAGUUACUGGGCGUAAAGCGCGCGCAGGCGGUUUGGUACAUCGGUGGUGAAAGCCCCGGGCUUAACCCGGGAGGGUCCAUCGAGAUGGCCGGACUGGAGGCAGGGCGAGGGCGGUGGAAUUCCGGGUGUAGUGGUGAAAUGCGUAGAGAUCCGGAGGAACACCAGUGGCGAAGGCGGCCGCCGGGACCUGUCCUGACGCUGAGGCGCGAAGGCGUGGGGAGCGAACGGG
This 253-nucleotide ribosomal RNA is filed under the name uncultured bacterium. RNAcentral describes it as "partial 16S ribosomal RNA". It matches the Rfam family "Bacterial small subunit ribosomal RNA", at positions 524 to 776 of the family's 1533-position model. The record is from RNAcentral.